AUCGCGGUGUUCCGCUCAUUCGCAUCAUUCUUUCGCCUUUUACUAAAGAAUGCCGUGCGUGGGACACAGUUAACGCGUCUGACGCAAUUUUUGCACACCCAUCGCGCCCUCGGGCGU
Molecule: small nuclear RNA, 117 nt
Rfam family: U5 spliceosomal RNA
About the family: U5 RNA is a component of both types of known spliceosome. The precise function of this molecule is unknown, though it is known that the 5' loop is required for splice site selection and p220 binding, and that both the 3' stem-loop and the Sm site are important for Sm protein binding and cap methylation.